Molecule: ribosomal RNA, 490 nt
Filed under: uncultured bacterium
Lineage: Bacteria
Description: partial 16S ribosomal RNA
Rfam family: Bacterial small subunit ribosomal RNA
Source: RNAcentral
AUUGAACGCUGGCGGCAGGCCUAACACAUGCAAGUCGAACGGUAACAGGAAACAGCUUGCUGUUUCGCUGACGAGUGGCGGACGGGUGAGUAAUGUCUGGGAAACUGCCUGAUGGAGGGGGAUAACUACUGGAAACGGUAGCUAAUACCGCAUAGCGUCGCAAGACCAAAGAGGGGGACCUUCGGGCCUCUUGCCAUCGGAUGUGCCCAGAUGGGAUUAGCUAGUAGGUGGGGUAACGGCUCACCUAGGCGACGAUCCCUAGCUGGUCUGAGAGGAUGACCAGCCACACUGGAACUGAGACACGGUCCAGACUCCUACGGGAGGCAGCAGUGGGGAAUAUUGCACAAUGGGCGCAAGCCUGAUGCAGCCAUGCCGCGUGUAUGAAGAAGGCCUUCGGGUUGUAAAGUACUUUCAGCGGGGAGGAAGGGAGUAAAGUUAAUACCUUUACUCAUUGACGUUACCCGCAGAAGAAGCACCGGCUAACUCCGUG